GAUUGCAAAAUAAGGAGAACACAUUGCGAGAAUAUGAAGCUAAGCAGAAGGUGAUCCGGGAUGCAAGACUGGCACAAGAGAAAUCACGUCUAACACGAGAUGAGAUGCUAUACUUAGCAAAAGAAGCAAAUGUUGAAGUACCAGCCGAUUUUGAUAAACAGUUCCCUGUAUAAAGUUCUUGGUACUGAAGACUGUGAUCUCUACAUUGCAUUACAAUGUUGAAGCACACGAAACCCGGUUUUAUAGAAUUUCUAAACUAUUCAUUUUUUUGUCAUCACAAACUAAAAAGUCUAGCUAAAGCUUCGUGUGUCGUCUCAUAUCUAAAAUAUUUGAAAGUGCUGACUUAUUGCUGUCGUUAAGGUUUUCUCUUCAAUAAAGCAUAACCGUAGAAAAUGGCA
Priapulus caudatus is the source of this 398-nucleotide long non-coding RNA. RefSeq lists it as uncharacterized. The transcript has 2 exons. The record is from RefSeq and is a predicted model, not a curated record. Lineage: Eukaryota; Metazoa; Priapulida; Priapulimorpha; Priapulimorphida; Priapulidae.